GAUGAACGCUGGCGGCGUGCCUAAUACAUGCAAGUCGAGCGAACGGACGAGAAGCUUGCUUCUCUGAUGUUAGCGGCGGACGGGUGAGUAACACGUGGAUAACCUACCUAUAAGACUGGGAUAACUUCGGGAAACCGGAGCUAAUACCGGAUAAUAUUUUGAACCGCAUGGUUCAAAAGUGAAAGACGGUCUUGCUGUCACUUAUAGAUGGAUCCGCGCUGCAUUAGCUAGUUGGUAAGGUAACGGCUUACCAAGGCAACGAUGCAUAGCCGACCUGAGAGGGUGAUCGGCCACACUGGAACUGAGACACGGUCCAGACUCCUACGGGAGGCAGCAGUAGGGAAUCCUCCGCAAUGGGCGAAAGCCUGACGGAGCAACGCCGCGUGAGUGAUGAAGGUCUUCGGAUCGUAAAACUCUGUUAUUAGGGAAGAACAUAUGUGUAAGUAACUGUGCACAUCUUGACGGUACCUAAUCAGAAAGCCACGGCUAACUACGUG
This 497-nucleotide ribosomal RNA is filed under the name uncultured bacterium. RNAcentral's name for it is "partial 16S ribosomal RNA". It matches the Rfam family "Bacterial small subunit ribosomal RNA", at positions 28 to 507 of the family's 1533-position model. The record is from RNAcentral.